AGUAGGUUGGCAGAUAAAUGCUAUUGAUUUAGGAUCAUUAAAUGAAUUAUAUUCACCUAUUA
RNAcentral lists this transfer RNA (62 nucleotides) under Haementeria officinalis (Mexican leech). RNAcentral's name for it is "transfer RNA Leucine". Lineage: Eukaryota; Metazoa; Annelida; Clitellata; Rhynchobdellida; Glossiphoniidae. The record is from RNAcentral.